UACGUAGGGGGCCAGCGUUGUUCGGAAUUACUGGGUGUAAAGGGUUCGUAGGCGGUGUGGCAAGUUGGGAGUGAAAUCUCUGGGCUCAACCCAGAGACGGCUUCCAAAACUGCCGUGCUUGAGUGUGGGAGAGGCUCGUGGAAUUGCAGGUGUAGCGGUGAAAUGCGCAGAUAUCAGGAGGAACACCGGUGGCGAAGGCGGGUCUCUGGGCCGGAACUGACGCUAAGGAGCGAAAGCGUGGGGAGCGAACAGG
Molecule: ribosomal RNA, 253 nt
Filed under: uncultured bacterium
Lineage: Bacteria
Description: partial 16S ribosomal RNA
Rfam family: Bacterial small subunit ribosomal RNA
Source: RNAcentral